RNAcentral lists this long non-coding RNA (1000 nucleotides) under Anser brachyrhynchus (Pink-footed goose). RNAcentral describes it as "lncRNA (ENSABRG00000021770.1)". Lineage: Eukaryota; Metazoa; Chordata; Aves; Anseriformes; Anatidae. The record is from RNAcentral.
ACGGGGGGGGGACGCGGCACCGCGGGGCUGGUGGCAUCCCUGGGGGGGGCACAGGGUGGCAGGAGGGGGUCUGUGCGUGAUGCCACCCCGAGCGCCUGCAGGGACGGCGCUGGGUACAACAGGAGUCCCCUUCCCCAGGCACCCCCAGCACCCCCCUGGGGGGGCAGGGGGACGUCAGCCUGGUGCUGUCCCAGGGGAGGUGGCCGCGGGCGGCCCAGCCCCAGGGCAGGAGCAGAGCAGCCUGCGGGCGCACGGGCACCUCGCGGCCCGCUCGUGCCAGCAGCUCUUGGCACGCGGGGAGCGCGUUCCUGGCAGCCCGGCCCUGUGCCAGCUGGUAUUUAUCCCCUUCCCGAAAUCCCUCCUGCUGCGGGGGGGAUGCCCGGCUGCGCGGGGGGGGACCCGCUCCCCGCUGCUCACUCUGCGGCGCCACGCUGCCGCGGGGAGGGGGGGGGACCCCUCGUCCCACCCCAAAAAUGCCCGCGGGUCCCAGGGGUGCUCUGGGGGCGCCGCGGUUGGCAGCGGGGACGCCGCCACGGUGGCACCUCUGCCCCGAGCACGUGCCCGGCCCCAAACCGACGGGGGACGGAUGCUGCGGGGAGGGGGGCACAACACCCCCACCCCAAAACCUGGGCAUCCCAAAGCUGCCGGAGCCGGGAGAGCCCGCGGGUUGCCCGGGCAACCGCAGGCAGGAUGGGGGGGGUGCAGGGUGAAAGUUGCCAUGGAGACCGAGAGCAGCAUCGCCACGGUUACGGCACCCAUCCGUCCCGCACCCCGGGGUGCUGGGGGCACCCUGCCCUGAGGCGGCGGGGGCAGCUCCCGGCCCCGUGUUGGCGGCGCGAAGGAAGACGCGAGGCUGGGCUCGGCUCCUCGGCUUUAUCAGCGAUCGGCCGCGGGGCCGGGCACCGGGGGGGGUGCGUGGGGCUCGGCGGGUGCUGGGGGCACGGGCAGGGUGCCCCCGUCCCCCCCCUCCUGGGUGCCAGAGCAGCUGGUGAAGGGGGUG